GACAGAGGUCCCGAGCGUUAGGCGGAAUCACUGGGCUUAAAGCGUGUGUAGGCGGAUUGACAAGUACCUUGUGAAAUCCCACGGCUCAACUGUGGAACUGCUGGGUAUACUGUCGAUCUUGAGACAUCUAGGGGCAACUGGAACAAACGGUGGAGCGGUGAAAUGCGUAGAUAUCGUUUGGAACGCCUAUGGUGAAAACAGGUUGCUGGGGAUGUACUGACGCUGAGACACGAAAGCCAGGGGAGCAAACGGG
Molecule: ribosomal RNA, 253 nt
Filed under: uncultured bacterium
Lineage: Bacteria
Description: partial 16S ribosomal RNA
Rfam family: Bacterial small subunit ribosomal RNA
Source: RNAcentral